UACAGGGGCCCCAAGCGUUAAUCGGAAUUACUGGGCGUAAAGGGCGCGUAGGCGGUCCUGUAAGUCUUGUGUGAAAUCCCUCGGCUUAACUGAGGAACUGCACGAGAUACUGCGAGACUUGAGUUCGGGAGAGGAAAGCGGAAUUCCGGGUGUAGCGGUGAAAUGCGUAGAUAUCCGGAGGAACACCGGUGGCGAAGGCGGCUUUCUGGACCGACACUGACGCUGAGGCGCGAAAGCUAGGGGAGCAAACGGG
RNAcentral lists this ribosomal RNA (253 nucleotides) under uncultured bacterium. RNAcentral describes it as "partial 16S ribosomal RNA". It matches the Rfam family "Bacterial small subunit ribosomal RNA", at positions 524 to 776 of the family's 1533-position model. The record is from RNAcentral.